UAGGGAAUCUUCGGCAAUGGACGAAAGUCUGACCGAGCAACGCCGCGUGAGUGAAGAAGGUUUUCGGAUCGUAAAACUCUGUUGUUAGAGAAGAACAAGGACGUUAGUAACUGAACGUCCCCUGACGGUAUCUAACCAGAAAGCCACGGCUACCUACGUGCCAGCAGCCGCGGUAAUACGUAGGUGGCAAGCGUUGUCCGGAUUUAUUGGGCGUAAAGCGAGCGCAGGCGGUUUCUUAAGUCUGAUGUGAAAGCCCCCGGCUCAACCGGGGAGGGUCAUUGGAAACUGGGAGACUUGAGUGCAGAAGAGGAGAGUGGAAUUCCAUGUGUAGCGGUGAAAUGCGUAGAUAUAUGGAGGAACACCAGUGGCGAAGGCGGCUCUCUGGUCUGUAACUGACGCUGAGGCUCGAAAGCGUGGGGAGCAAACAGG
RNAcentral lists this ribosomal RNA (429 nucleotides) under Gemmatimonadota bacterium. Its description in RNAcentral is "Gemmatimonadetes bacterium partial 16S ribosomal RNA". It matches the Rfam family "Bacterial small subunit ribosomal RNA", at positions 355 to 776 of the family's 1533-position model. Lineage: Bacteria; Pseudomonadati; Gemmatimonadota. The record is from RNAcentral.